UUGGACGAAGAAUCGACAGGCGCUUGUCGCGGGUGAAGCCUCUGUCUUUGGCUUCCUUUUGUUCUCUUCGUUCCUGCUCCUCUAGUCACUUCUCUCUCAGUCUCUUUUCUAUUUGGCUUUCUUCUUCCCCUGUUUUUUUUUUGUUCUCCCUUCCCCCUGGAUUCGUUGCGUCCUCUGCCUUUUAUAGGCUUUUCUUGCUCAAAACUGAUAUUUAUCUUCCCCGGACACUGAUCUUCACGUGGAGAUAGAGCUUGAGACUUCGUGUUGUGGUUGGAUUGGAACACCAACAGUCCUGUCAUUGCUGGAUUGUUGGUAGUGGUUUCCUCCACGCCUCAAUAGCUUGUUAUGGCGGUGAAGGAAACGACAACGAACUAAGAAACUGGUGAUGGAAGUUGUGGGAAUUGCAAUGUGUCUGUGAGUUGCCUGUCUGGGUGGCAAUUGGUAUUUCCUUCGCAAGGGGCCUCCUCUGUUUCCAGAGGAAGAAGAUGAAGAAAGGAAAUGAAAAC
This 506-nucleotide long non-coding RNA is filed under the name Populus trichocarpa (black cottonwood). RNAcentral describes it as "long non-coding RNA (PTRI_LNC000089)". The record is from RNAcentral. Lineage: Eukaryota; Viridiplantae; Streptophyta; Magnoliopsida; Malpighiales; Salicaceae.